UUAAGCGACUAAGCGUACACGGUGGAUGCCCUGGCAGUCAGAGGCGAUGAAGGACGUGCUAAUCUGCGAAAAGCGUCGGUAAGGUGAUAUGAACCGUUACAGCCGGCGAUGUCCGAAUGGGGAAACCCAGUGUGAUUCGUCACACUAUCGUUAACUGAAUACAUAGGUUAACGAGGCGAACCGGGGGAACUGAAACAUCUAAGUACCCCGAGGAAAAGAAAUCAACCGAGAUUCCCCCAGUAGCGGCGAGCGAACGGGGAGCAGCCCAGAGUCUGAAUCAGCUUGUGUGUUAGUGGAACGGUCUGGAAAGUCCGACGGUACAGGGUGAUAGUCCCGUACACCAAAAUGCACAGGCUGUGAACUCGAAGAGUAGGGCGGGACACGUGGUAUCCUGUCUGAAUAUGGGGGGACCAUCCUCCAAGGCUAAAUACUCCUGACUGACCGAUAGUGAACCAGUACCGUGAGGGAAAGGCGAAAAGAACCCCGGCGAGGGGAGUGAAAAAGAACCUGAAACCGUGUACGUACAAGCAGUGGGAGCACCUUCGGGUGUGACUGCGUACCUUUUGUAUAAUGGGUCAGCGACUUAUAUUCUGUAGCAAGGUUAACCGUAUAGGGGAGCCGCAGGGAAACCGAGUCUUAACUGGGCGUUAAGUUGCAGGGUAUAGACCCGAAACCCGGUGAUCUAGCCAUGGGCAGGUUGAAGGUUGGGUAACACUAACUGGAGGACCGAACCGACUAAUGUUGAAAAAUUAGCGGAUGACUUGUGGCUGGGGGUGAAAGGCCAAUCAAACCGGGAGAUAGCUGGUUCUCCCCGAAAGCUAUUUAGGUAGCGCCUCGUGAAUUCAUCUUCGGGGGUAGAGCACUGUUUCGGCUAGGGGGUCAUCCCGACUUACCAACCCGAUGCAAACUACGAAUACCGAAGAAUGUUAUCACGGGAGACACACGGCGGGUGCUAACGUCCGUCGUGAAGAGGGAAACAACCCAGACCGCCAGCUAAGGUCCCAAAGUCAUGGUUAAGUGGGAAACGAUGUGGGAAGGCACAGACAGCCAGGAUGUUGGCUUAGAAGCAGCCAUCAUUUAAAGAAAGCGUAAUAGCUCACUGGUCGAGUCGGCCUGCGCGGAAGAUGUAACGGGGCUAAACCAUGCACCGAAGCUGCGGCAGCGACACUAUGUGUUGUUGGGUAGGGGAGCGUUCUGUAAGCCUGCGAAGGUGUGCUGUGAGGCAUGCUGGAGGUAUCAGAAGUGCGAAUGCUGACAUAAGUAACGAUAAAGCGGGUGAAAAGCCCGCUCGCCGGAAGACCAAGGGUUCCUGUCCAACGUUAAUCGGGGCAGGGUGAGUCGACCCCUAAGGCGAGGCCGAAAGGCGUAGUCGAUGGGAAACAGGUUAAUAUUCCUGUACUUGGUGUUACUGCGAAGGGGGGACGGAGAAGGCUAUGUUAGCCGGGCGACGGUUGUCCCGGUUUAAGCAUGUAGGCUGGUUGUCCAGGCAAAUCCGGAUAAUCAAGGCUGAGGUGUGAUGACGAGGUACUACGGUGCUGAAGUAACAAAUGCCCUGCUUCCAGGAAAAGCCUCUAAGCAUCAGGUAACAUCAAAUCGUACCCCAAACCGACACAGGUGGUCAGGUAGAGAAUACCAAGGCGCUUGAGAGAACUCGGGUGAAGGAACUAGGCAAAAUGGUGCCGUAACUUCGGGAGAAGGCACGCUGGUGUGUAGGUGAAGUCCCUGCGGAUGGAGCUGAGACCAGUCGAAGAUACCAGCUGGCUGCAACUGUUUAUUAAAAACACAGCACUGUGCAAACACGAAAGUGGACGUAUACGGUGUGACGCCUGCCCGGUGCCGGAAGGUUAAUUGAUGGGGUUAUCCGUAAGGAGAAGCUCUUGAUCGAAGCCCCGGUAAACGGCGGCCGUAACUAUAACGGUCCUAAGGUAGCGAAAUUCCUUGUCGGGUAAGUUCCGACCUGCACGAAUGGCGUAAUGAUGGCCAGGCUGUCUCCACCCGAGACUCAGUGAAAUUGAACUCGCUGUGAAGAUGCAGUGUACCCGCGGCAAGACGGAAAGACCCCGUGAACCUUUACUAUAGCUUGACACUGAACAUUGAGCCUUGAUGUGUAGGAUAGGUGGGAGGCUUUGAAGCGUGGACGCCAGUCUGCGUGGAGCCAACCUUGAAAUACCACCCUUUAAUGUUUGAUGUUCUAACGUUGGCCCCUUACCGGGGUUGCGGACAGUGUCUGGUGGGUAGUUUGACUGGGGCGGUCUCCUCCCAAAGCGUAACGGAGGAGCACGAAGGUUAGCUAAUCCUGGUCGGACAUCAGGAGGUUAGUGCAAUGGCAUAAGCUAGCUUGACUGCGAGCGUGACGGCGCGAGCAGGUGCGAAAGCAGGUCAUAGUGAUCCGGUGGUUCUGAAUGGAAGGGCCAUCGCUCAACGGAUAAAAGGUACUCCGGGGAUAACAGGCUGAUACCGCCCAAGAGUUCAUAUCGACGGCGGUGUUUGGCACCUCGAUGUCGGCUCAUCACAUCCUGGGGCUGAAGUAGGUCCCAAGGGUAUGGCUGUUCGCCAUUUAAAGUGGUACGCGAGCUGGGUUUAGAACGUCGUGAGACAGUUCGGUCCCUAUCUGCCGUGGGCGCUGGAGAAUUGAGGGGGGCUGCUCCUAGUACGAGAGGACCGGAGUGGACGCAUCACUGGUGUUCGGGUUGUCAUGCCAAUGGCACUGCCCGGUAGCUAAAUGCGGAAGAGAUAAGUGCUGAAAGCAUCUAAGCACGAAACUUGCCCCGAGAUGAGUUCUCCCUGAGACUUUAAGUCUCCUGAAGGAACGUUAAAGACGAUGACGUUGAUAGGCCGGGUGUGUAAGCGCAGCGAUGCGUUGAGCUAACCGGUACUAAUGAACCGUGAGGCUUAACCU
Molecule: ribosomal RNA, 2899 nt
Filed under: Klebsiella pneumoniae
Lineage: Bacteria; Pseudomonadati; Pseudomonadota; Gammaproteobacteria; Enterobacterales; Enterobacteriaceae
Description: 23S ribosomal RNA
Rfam family: Bacterial large subunit ribosomal RNA
Source: RNAcentral